RNAcentral lists this ribosomal RNA (609 nucleotides) under uncultured bacterium. RNAcentral's name for it is "bacterial SSU rRNA". The stretch from base 1 to 518 matches the Rfam family "Bacterial small subunit ribosomal RNA", at positions 338 to 873 of the family's 1533-position model. The record is from RNAcentral.
CCUACGGGAGGCAGCAGUAGGGAAUCUUGCGCAAUGGGCGAAAGCCUGACGCAGCCAUGCCGCGUGAAUGAUGAAGGUCUUAGGAUUGUAAAAUUCUUUCACCGGGGACGAUAAUGACGGUACCCGGAGAAGAAGCCCCGGCUAACUUCGUGCCAGCAGCCGCGGUAAUACGAAGGGGGCUAGCGUUGCUCGGAAUUACUGGGCGUAAAGGGAGCGUAGGCGGAUAGUUUAGUCAGAGGUGAAAGCCCAGGGCUCAACCUUGGAAUUGCCUUUGAUACUGGCUAUCUUGAGUAUGGAAGAGGUAUGUGGAACUCCGAGUGUAGAGGUGAAAUUCGUAGAUAUUCGGAAGAACACCAGUGGCGAAGGCGACAUACUGGUCCAUUACUGACGCUGAGGCUCGAAAGCGUGGGGAGCAAACAGGAUUAGAUACCCUGGUAGUCCACGCCGUAAACGAUGAGUGCUAGUUGUCGGCAUGCAUGCAUGUCGGUGCGCGAGACUACGACAUAAGACACUCCGCCGUCGGGGUAGGUACGGUCGCGAAGAAUUAAACUAACGAAAGAAGUAGACGGCGUGAGACGUGCCGACGGACGACCGACGAGGGAGGUUAGG